AUAUAUAUAUAUAAGUUGACGUAAAACGAACCUAGCUAUCCCGCCUAAAUCUUCCAAAAAGAUUCAUCGUUUUACUUACAUGCCGACGAUAAUUAUGCGCGACAUACAUUGCAUGAACCUUGAAACUCGUAUGUAUACAUAACAUACACAUUAUGUCGUAUUGCCAAAGUUAGUUUUUUUAAGCAAGCUUUUGUAGCCAAUGAGAAGUGUGUCGUGUUUCGCGAGGAUCAAUAAAAUCAUGUCCGCGGAGGAAGGAAGGAGGUUUCGACUGAACGACUGAACGUUGCUGAGCACUUUGCGAGAAGAGGCAUUUCGUUUCUGUGGUUACCCUGGUAUAGAAUACCCGAACGAAUAUAACUUUGAGAAGUUCGAAGACGAUGGAAAGCCUGCUGUCUUUGGCGGUUAUAUUUGUUAUCCGCUGUACCCAUCUCCGAGGAAUCGUUUCCGAGCAUGUUGCUAAGGAAAUCGUUGAUCAACAAAGGUGUUACAGACAUUAUCCAAUCAAUGAAAGCUCCUGUACGUGUUGAGAUAGAAGGUUCGGUUGUACCACAACCAAUACCAGUGGAUGUAAUACCAACUAAUACAAGAUUAAGUG
This is a long non-coding RNA of Formica exsecta, 595 nucleotides long. RefSeq lists it as uncharacterized. NCBI's taxonomy places the organism in Eukaryota, Metazoa, Arthropoda, Insecta, Hymenoptera, Formicidae. The transcript has 3 exons. The record is from RefSeq and is a predicted model, not a curated record.